UUCGCAAUGCCCGAAAGGGUAACGAAGCGACGCCGCGUGCGGGAAGAAGGCCUUCGGGUUGUAAACCGCUGUCGGGAGAUAAGAAAUGUAAGGAUGUCAAUAGCAUCUUUGCUUGACUAAGGCUCCGGAGGAAGCCACGGCUAACUCUGUGCCAGCAGCCGCGGUAAUACAGAGGCGGCAAGCGUUGUUCGGAAUUAUUGGGCGUAAAGAGCACGUAGGCGGCUAUGUAAGUCGGUUGUGAAAGCCUUCCGCUCAACGGGAGAACAGCAUCCGAUACUGCAUGGCUUGAGUGCGGGAGGGGAGAGUGGAACUUCUGGUGGAGCGGUGAAAUGCGUAGAUAUCAGAAGGAACGCCGGCGGCGAAAGCGGCUCUCUGGCCCAUAACUGACGCUGAGUGUGCGAAAGCUAGGGGAGCAAACGGGAUUAGAUACCCCGGUAGUCCUAGCUGUAAGCGAUGGGCACUAAGUAGAGGGGUUUU
This 477-nucleotide ribosomal RNA is filed under the name uncultured Planctomycetales bacterium. Its description in RNAcentral is "bacterial SSU rRNA". It matches the Rfam family "Bacterial small subunit ribosomal RNA", at positions 365 to 832 of the family's 1533-position model. The record is from RNAcentral. Lineage: Bacteria; Pseudomonadati; Planctomycetota; Planctomycetia; Planctomycetales.